CAUGCAAGUCGAACGAUGAUGCCCAGCUUGCUGGGCGGAUUAGUGGCGAACGGGUGAGUAAUACGUGAGUAACCUGCCCUUGACUCUGGGAUAAGCCUGGGAAACUGGGUCUAAUACUGGAUACUACCUCCCGCCGCAUGGUGGGUGGUGGAAAGGGUUUUACUGGUUUUGGAUGGGCUCACGGCCUAUCAGCUUGUUGGUGGGGUAAUGGCUCACCAAGGCGACGACGGGUAGCCGGCCUGAGAGGGUGACCGGCCACACUGGGACUGAGACACGGCCCAGACUCCUACGGGAGGCAGCAGUGGGGAAUAUUGCACAAUGGGCGGAAGCCUGAUGCAGCGACGCCGCGUGAGGGAUGACGGCCUUCGGGUUGUAAACCUCUUUCAGUAGGGAAGAAGCGAAAGUGACGGUACCUGCAGAAGAAGCGCCGGCUAACUACGUGCCAGCAGCCGCGGUAAUACGUAGGGCGCAAGCGUUGUCCGGAAUUAUUGGGCGUAAAGAGCUCGUAGGCGGUUUGUCGCGUCUGCUGUGAAAGCCCGGGGCUCAACCCCGGGUCUGCAGUGGGUACGGGCAGACUAGAGUGCAGUAGGGGAGACUGGAAUUCCUGGUGUAGCGGUGAAAUGCGCAGAUAUCAGGAGGAACACCGAUGGCGAAGGCAGGUCUCUGGGCUGUUACUGACGCUGAGGAGCGAAAGCAUGGGGAGCGAACAGGAUUAGAUACCCUGGUAGUCCAUGCCGUAAACGUUGGGCACUAGGUGUGGGGGACAUUCCACGUUUUCCGCGCCGUAGCUAACGCAUUAAGUGCCCCGCCUGGGGAGUACGGCCGCAAGGCUAAAACUCAAAGGAAUUGACGGGGGCCCGCACAAGCGGCGGAGCAUGCGGAUUAAUUCGAUGCAACGCGAAGAACCUUACCAAGGCUUGACAUUCACCGGACCGCCCCAGAGAUGGGGUUUCCCUUCGGGGCUGGUGGACAGGUGGUGCAUGGUUGUCGUCAGCUCGUGUCGUGAGAUGUUGGGUUAAGUCCCGCAACGAGCGCAACCCUCGUUCUAUGUUGCCAGCACGUGAUGGUGGGGACUCAUAGGAGACUGCCGGGGUCAACUCGGAGGAAGGUGGGGAUGACGUCAAAUCAUCAUGCCCCUUAUGUCUUGGGCUUCACGCAUGCUACAAUGGCCGGUACAAAGGGUUGCGAUACUGUGAGGUGGAGCUAAUCCCAAAAAGCCGGUCUCAGUUCGGAUUGAGGUCUGCAACUCGACCUCAUGAAGUCGGAGUCGCUAGUAAUCGCAGAUCAGCAACGCUGCGGUGAAUACGUUCCCGGGCCUUGUACACACCGCCCGUCAAGUCACGAAAGUUGGUAACACCCGAAGCCGGUGGCCUAACCCCUUGUGGGAGGGAGCCGUCGAAGGU
Molecule: ribosomal RNA, 1403 nt
Filed under: Kocuria sp. MDB1-49
Lineage: Bacteria; Bacillati; Actinomycetota; Actinomycetes; Micrococcales; Micrococcaceae
Description: bacterial SSU rRNA
Rfam family: Bacterial small subunit ribosomal RNA
Source: RNAcentral